UUCUUGUGAAAGAAGCGAAGAACAGGGAA
This 29-nucleotide non-coding RNA is filed under the name Mus musculus (house mouse). Lineage: Eukaryota; Metazoa; Chordata; Mammalia; Rodentia; Muridae. The record is from RNAcentral.